AGUGCAUAUGCAUGGAAGGGAAGGGGGAGGCUACACGCACGCAGUAACACACCCUGCUGGGGAACCUUCCACCCACACAUACGAGCACGCAGACGCUUGUCCUUGACGAGAGGGGAACGGAGCUCAUGCUGCGCCGCACCGCAAGAAGCGCCAUGGGCAACAGCCGCUUCAGCGGCAGCAAGGAGCGGGACCGCAUUGAGCAGGAGCGUCGCCGCCGUCUUGUGUACGACGCCGCAGGCAAUCUUCAGCUCGGCGGCCUCCUGCUCAUGAUGUACGACGACUUCAAGAAGCCCGCCGCCAUCGGCCUUGGCAUGGUUGCCUUCUUAUACGGUUAUAGCCGACUGGUUGUGCACCUGUCUCGAGAGGAAGAGGCAGAGGGCUUGUGGCUGGACGCGCAGAGCGAGGCAGUGGCCCGGCAGACGGGCAAGCUGAAGGCAGAUCGGUAUCUUGUCAAGCCGAAUAGGCAGAUCGACGACCCCGACUUUCUCAACAUCCCCGCCUUUGGCGGCAGAGGCGUCAGCUCUAGUAAGCUCUUGAGUGAUGAUAGCGUGAGCGGCGGGGCUCUGCAUAGCGAGCGCAAGCGCAGCUGACCGGCAGUCUCACACACGGAACACGGAAGGAGGCGGCAACAGUUGUAGCCCGUAUACGUGUAAAGGACUACCAGUCGCGCAACCGUCUUUCCUUUACGCGCGCAUCCAUCACCUUCACGAUGGCCACGACCAUCACCCACUGCACCGGGCUCUUUCUCGUUCUCUCGCUGUGCGUGUGCAUACAUGUGCUCUGGAGUGCACGGCACCGGAGAGGGAGGCAGGCAAAUCACCACCACAAAACAACGUGCGAGAUGGUGGAGGCCUGUGUCCUUGCCUCCGCCACCCCCUUCCCCUGCCCUUAAAGAGGAGGUGAGGGUCGAUGAGGCUGUGCAGCACCCGCCCUCAUACUCUUUUCGUGCACCCUGCGUCCUUAGCGGCGCAUGCGUUCGGUGACGCAUCAACUCGCUCGCCCACGCUUACUCUUCCUUCUCGCUGUCAUCUCUUUCUUUCUCUCUCCACCGUCGCCGUCCGUCGUCCGUGGGCUUCGCCACCACUCGCUCCCACGGGGCGCACCCACGAAUGCCUGUCUGCCUCUCACACGCACACGCAG
RNAcentral lists this unclassified non-coding RNA (1140 nucleotides) under Leishmania donovani. RNAcentral's name for it is "gene:LdHU3.03.0240(CDS-product:hypothetical_prote in_conserved)". Lineage: Eukaryota; Euglenozoa; Kinetoplastea; Trypanosomatida; Trypanosomatidae. The record is from RNAcentral.